CACGUCAGUGCGACCUGCUGACGUGGAAGGAAAUCGCGUCCUUAAGGGAGCGGUUUCCUUCCACAUCAGCAGGUCGCGCUGACGUGG
Molecule: non-coding RNA, 87 nt
Organism: Gossypium raimondii (Peruvian cotton)
Lineage: Eukaryota; Viridiplantae; Streptophyta; Magnoliopsida; Malvales; Malvaceae
Source: Rfam